UACGUAGGGUGCGAGCGUUAAUCGGAAUUACUGGGCGUAAAGCGUGCGCAGGCGGCUGUGUAAGACAGAUGUGAAAUCCCCGGGCUCAACCUGGGAACUGCAUUUGUGACUGCAUGGCUGGAGUGCGGCAGAGGGGGAUGGAAUUCCGCGUGUAGCAGUGAAAUGCGUAGAUAUGCGGAGGAACACCGAUGGCGAAGGCAAUCCCCUGGGCCUGCACUGACGCUCAUGCACGAAAGCGUGGGGAGCAAACAGG
This 253-nucleotide ribosomal RNA is filed under the name uncultured bacterium. RNAcentral's name for it is "partial 16S ribosomal RNA". It matches the Rfam family "Bacterial small subunit ribosomal RNA", at positions 524 to 776 of the family's 1533-position model. The record is from RNAcentral.